RNAcentral lists this ribosomal RNA (373 nucleotides) under uncultured Smithella sp. RNAcentral describes it as "bacterial SSU rRNA". It matches the Rfam family "Bacterial small subunit ribosomal RNA", at positions 1008 to 1382 of the family's 1533-position model. The record is from RNAcentral. Lineage: Bacteria; Pseudomonadati; Thermodesulfobacteriota; Syntrophia; Syntrophales; Smithellaceae.
CAGGGAGUGCCUUUCGGGAACUCGGAGACAGGUGCUGCAUGGCUGUCGUCAGCUCGUGUCGUGAGAUGUUGGGUUAAGUCCCGCAACGAGCGCAACCCUUGUCUUAAUUGCCAGCAUUCAGUUGGGCACUUUAAAGAGACUGCCGGUGUUAAGCCGGAGGAAGGUGGGGAUGACGUCAAGUCCUCAUGGCCUUUAUGCCCAGGGCUACACACGUGCUACAAUGGGUGGUACAAAGAGAUGCCAACUCGCGAGAGCGCGCCAAUCUCAGAAAGCCAUCCUCAGUUCGGAUUGGAGUCUGCAACUCGACUCCAUGAAGUUGGAAUCGCUAGUAAUCGCGGAUCAGCACGCCGCGGUGAAUACGUUCCCGGGCCUU